RNAcentral lists this ribosomal RNA (516 nucleotides) under uncultured bacterium. RNAcentral describes it as "bacterial SSU rRNA". It matches the Rfam family "Bacterial small subunit ribosomal RNA", at positions 791 to 1314 of the family's 1533-position model. The record is from RNAcentral.
UAGUCCACGCCCUAAACGAUGUUGGCUCGGUAUCUGGCUAUAAGCUGGGUGCCCAAGGGAAACCGAUAAGCCAACCACCUGGGGAGUACGUCGGCAACAAUGAAACUCAAAGGAAUUGACGGGGACCCGCACAAGCGGUGGAACAUGUGGUUUAAUUCGAUGAUACGCGAGGAACCUUACCUGGACUUAAAUGUACGUUGCAUAGAGUAGAGAUAUUCUUUUCUUCGGACUACGUACAAGGUGCUGCAUGGUUGUCGUCAGCUCGUGCCGUGAGGUGUCGGGUUAAGUCCCAUAACGAGCGCAACCCCUAUCGUUAGUUACCAUCAGGUUAUGCUGGGGACUCUAGCGAAACUGCCUGUGCAAACAGAGAGGAAGGUGGGGAUGACGUCAAAUCAGCACGGCCCUUACGUCCAGGGCUACACACGUGUUACAAUGGCAUAGACAGAGGGCAGCUACACGGCGACGUGAUGCGAAUCUCGAAACUAUGUCUCAGUUCGGAUCGGAGUCUGCAACCCG